AAGCUCGUAGUUGAAUUUCGGGGUUCUACCGUCGGUCGGGCUACCAAGUCUGUACUGGUGUGUAGAAUUUCUACCUUCUGGGGAACCAUCAUGUUAUUAAUUUAGCGUGGUGGGAAACCAGGACCUUUACCUUGAAAAAAUUAGAGUGUUCAAAGCAGGCUUAUGUCUGAAUACAUUAGCAUGGAAUAAUAGAGUAGGACGGUGGUCCUGUUUUGUUGGUUUCUGAAUCACCGUAAUGAUUAAUAGGGAUAGUUGGG
This 257-nucleotide ribosomal RNA is filed under the name uncultured Glomeromycotina. RNAcentral describes it as "partial 18S ribosomal RNA". It matches the Rfam family "Eukaryotic small subunit ribosomal RNA", at positions 624 to 886 of the family's 1831-position model. Lineage: Eukaryota; Fungi; Glomeromycota. The record is from RNAcentral.